Thunnus maccoyii (southern bluefin tuna) is the source of this 972-nucleotide long non-coding RNA. RefSeq lists it as uncharacterized. The record is from RefSeq and is a predicted model, not a curated record. The transcript has 3 exons. Lineage: Eukaryota; Metazoa; Chordata; Actinopteri; Scombriformes; Scombridae.
GUUCUCUCACGGUCAGACCUGCAAAUAAAGUGACAAAUAUUUCCAGGCUUGUGUGGCACCACUGUCAUUUCCCUCUGGUUUUAAUGUCAUACACCAAUACAUAAAAGAAAAGAAGAAAAGAAGAAAAAAGUGCCCAGUUCCUUCUGAUAUUUCUUUUAAUACAGUUAAAAGCAUUGGCUGCAAUAUGUAUCACACUGUGAGUGCCACCCUGCUGCUCCCACUUCCCUCUUCAAAUAAAGGCUACAAGAUUUUGACUUAUUUUAGAAAUCCUAACUUCUCCAAUUUUGUUUUUUAACCACUUCAUGAAACUUUUUUCAGCUCAUGUCCACUGACCAACAAUCCCAGCCGGCACAUUUUAUGAUAUGGAGAUCUGAAAACCUCACUUAAGCACCUUUAAUUGUUCAUUAAGCCUUAUAAAGCACUGUAUUAUGGUGUCAUUUGCUAUAGUGCUACAUAUUAUAGUUUAGAUGCACAGGUUGUAUGUGUUGCCUGUGUUUUUUGGCCUUUUCCUCUCCUGUAUAUUGCUCUACCCAGGUCAUCUACACUUAAUCAGUCCACAAUGAGGUGCACCUGGCCCAGGGAGGAAGAGGUUGAAAGUUCCAGGUUCUUGUUGCAGGGAGAGGCUUCUUGUUCGUGGACUGCUGGUCUUGCCUCUCAACCUGGGAUUUUAUGUUAUUUAGUGUAGUAUCUAUCUCUUUGAUUGUUUAUAGUAGUCAUUUAAUGUCUUGGUUGUUGUGUAUGUUUUGUUAAUAAAUGCCAUAGUUUGGGUGUUUUAAAAGGUGUUUUACUUUGGGUAAAUGGUGGAUUGUUGUUUUCCCCAUAGGGCUGGGGCGUAACAGUGCUGAACAAAGAAAACAAUACAAAGCAGUAAACAAACCUCAGAGAAAAGUCCUCUUCAUAUUGUGUCAAGAAAUCCUCCAGCUUGACUGCGUCCUCUUUCAGGCGUCCCCAAGACAGUUUCUUAGGAGUAGG